RNAcentral lists this long non-coding RNA (7762 nucleotides) under Homo sapiens (human). Its description in RNAcentral is "HSALNT0368621". The record is from RNAcentral. Lineage: Eukaryota; Metazoa; Chordata; Mammalia; Primates; Hominidae.
GUCCUACAAUGUUUUAGCACAGUAAUCUAAGUUGUCUCUGUAGUAUAAAAAACAGAGCAGAGUGUUUUUGGGGUUCCUCAGUUGCAGUGAGAUGUGAGGCACUUGCAGAGACUCAGUCCACCACCCUGGGCAGCUUUCACCACCCUGGGCAGCUUUUCCGAGACGUAGGGACUGGCUUGCCGUAAUUCAUAGCUUCUGCUGUCCCUUGCUACAUACCUGAGAAAUUCAAGCCAGCUGCAGAAAUUUGCUUGAGUAGCAAGGAGCCCAAUGUUAAUCCUCAAGACCAUAGGGAAAAUGUCUCCAGGCCAUGUCAGAGACCUUCAUGGCAGCCCCUCCCACCAUAGGCCCAGAGGCCCAGGAGGAAAAAGUGGUUUCAUGGGCCAGGUCCAGGGUCCUUGUGCUGUGUGCAGCCUUAGGACUUGGUGCCCUGUGUCCCAGCCAUUCCAGCCGUGGCUGAAGGGGCCAAUGUAGAGCUCAGGCCAUGGCUUCAGAGGGUGGAAGCCCCAAACCUUGACAGCUUCCACGUGGUGUUGAGCCUUAGGUUGCACAGAAGUCAAGAAUUGAGGUUUGGGAAACUCCAACUGGAUUUCAGAAAAUGUAUGGAUGCCCAGGCAAAAGUUUGCUGCAGGGGCAGGGCCCUCAUGGAGAACCUUUGCUAGAGCAAACUGGAAGGAAGGAAAAUGUGGGUUUGGAGCCCCCACACAGAGUUCCUAGUGGGCACUGCCUAGUGCAGCUAUGAGAAGAGGGCCACCAUCUUUCAGACCCCAGAAUGGUAGAUCCACUGACAGCUUGCACUGUGUUGCUGGAAAAGCUGCAGACACUCAAUGCCAGCCUGUGAAAGCAGCUGGGUGAGGGCUGAAUCCUACAAAGCCAUAGGGGCAGAGCUGCCCAAGACCAUGGGAACCCAUCUCUUGCAUCAGUGUGAUGUGGCUGUGAGACCUGGAGUCAAAGGAGAUCAUUUUGGAGCUUUAAAAUUUGACUGCCUCACUGAACUUCAGACUUGCAUGGGCCCUAUAACCCCUUUGUUUUGGCCUAUCUCUCUUUCGGAAUGGCUGUAUUUACCCAAUACCUGUACUUCCAUUGUAUCUAGGAAGUAACUAGCUUUCUUUUGAUUUUACAGGCUCAUAGGUAGAAGGGACUUGCCUUGUCUCAGAUGAGACUUUUGACUGGAUUUUUGGGUUAAUGCUGAAAUGAGUUAAGAUUUUGGGGGACUGUUGGGAAGGCAUGAUUAGUUUUGAAAAGUGAGGACACGAGAUUUGGAGGGGCCAGGGGCAGAAUGAUGUGGUUUGGCUGUGUCCCCACCCAAAUCUCAACUUGAAUUUUAUCUCCCAGAAUUCCCACAUGUUGUGGGAGGGGUCCAGGGGGAGGUAAUUGAAUCAUGGGGGCCAGGCCUUCCCAUGCUAUUCUUGUGAUAGUGAAUAAGUCUCACGAGAUCUAAUGGGUUUAUCAGGGGUUUCCGCUUUUGCUUCUUCCUCAUUUUUCUCUUGCCACCACCAUAUAAAAAGUGCCUUUCACCUCCUGCCAUGAUUCUGACACCUCCCCAGCCAUGUGGAACUGUAAGUGCAAUUAAACCUCUUUUGGUUCCCAGUUUUGAGUGUGUCUUUAUCAGCAGUGUGAAAAUGAACUAAUAUACCAAGCUAUCACAUCACUGAGUGUGAUGGGCCAUCAGCACUGCUGUGAUGUCCUGCAAAAGUGGAAUUAUUUCUUGACUUGACCUCACUCUUAUGUACUUGAGAAGCUGAGUUCUCUUCUCGCAUGUUCUAAUAAACAAGUCUUAUAAGUCUGGCUCUGGUUAGCCCACAUGUUGAACCUCUUACUUGCAACCCCACUGAUGUGUCUCCCCUAUGCCUGGACAUAAGAGCCUCUCAAUCUCACAUUCAUCCAACAGCAUCUCUAGGUGUAUACUCACUUGUAGCCAAAGUAAAUUUUACACCAUGAUAAAAAUUAGUGUAAAGACUUUACAGGGAACCAAAGUGCCUGGGAAUUCUGAUGAGUAACUACUGAGUGGUUUUUUUUAAUCUCUUUAUUCAAUAGACGUAAAAGUUUAACAAUUGAAGAUUUUAGGUGCCUCGCUUUUACAUUAUGAUUUUUAACUAGUGCAUGCACAAAUAUGCUUUGGCACACAAUACCCUUUCCAGAGCCAUCAAGAUUUAAGUCAUAUUUUUAAGGACAGUGUUAAAAUGUUUACAGGUUUAUGACCCAUAAGUAUCUGGUUUAACUACUCUGUGCUGCAACCAUUUUUAUAAUUAUUUUCUCUUUCACAACUUUUACAGUAAUUUUAUAUUCAUCCUUGGAGAUGCCACAUUGUGUUUUCUUUUGGCUUACUAAGUGGACAUCACAAUCGGUUAAAAAUUUGCCAUUUGUGUGUAUCAGGGCAUAGAAGGUGGAGGAUAAUAGUGGGGGUUGUAAAUGUAUUGGAUAAAUUAUAUGGUACAAUAUGUUAGUGUUCAUUUAUAUCCAUCUAAUAUGAGCUUAUAUGUCACCCAAAGGUAGCCCCAGUUAGGCUGUGAAUACUGUGGCCCAGUAUCAAAGUGAUCGUAAGUUAUUCCUAGAAGAGCGUGUCCCUGCCAAACACAUAUCAGGGCUUCACAGUUUUGACCUUAUUUCAUGUGGUCCCUCUUGCAGCUAGAGUCUGGCACAGAAGGCAGGACUUCCAGCUGGUACUUUAGGUACAUUGGGGCACUAGAGAUAAUGAAUGCACUUGACAUUUACAGUUGGGUCUAAAUUCACAACUGUGUCAGAUAACAAGAGCUGGAUUAACGAGUGGCCAGUAUGCAGAGAUACAGACCAUCUCAAUGGAGACCUCCCUGGAGUAUCAAGACUUACAAAGAGAGAUGAACACAUUGGAAGCCAAGAAUGGUUUAUGGAUUAUAUUUGCUAAAUGUGUGCAAUCCUCAACAGGAAAACCACAGCCAGGUAUCCAAAGCAGAACUGGAGUGUGCUUAUAUGUGUCAGGGGAAGAGGUUUUUAUGUCUAAUAGGCACAGCUAGUUUAAUAUGAAACUUGCACUGACAGUUUAUACCUAACUCGACUCAAGACUUUCAUAGUUAUCUGUAAAGCCAAAUACUAGAUUUGACUGGCUAUUAAAUAAGCAUGGCAGAAUUGUGAAGACAGUAUUAUACGACUAUGAAGCGAAUUAAACCCUUCUUAUCACCCCUCUCCAAAAUCAGAAGAAAAAAUAUUCUUUCACUCCUUUUUUUAAAAAUCAUGAGAUACAUUUUUUUGUUAAAAAAUUAAAAAUGCAAAAGUGCAAAAAGGAGGAUAUAAAAAUCUUCACAACCUCAGAUAAACCCCAUUAGUAUUUUGGUUAAUAUCCUUCCAGUCUCUUUUCAAUGUAUGUGUGUGGGAUCAAUUUUAAAAUAUAUAAUAUGAAGUAUAAAGCAUAAAAAUAUACUUUUUCACAACCUGAUUUUAGUCUGACUCACCAAAACUUUGCGAUUAUCUUUCCAUGAUAUUGUUCUUCAGCUGCUUCAGGUUUAGUAGCACAUGAUAUUCCAUUGUAUAAUCUUAUUUUAAUUUACUUAAGCAGCCUCGUACUGUUGGACAUUUGUUAUGUCCAAGUAUUUUGUUACUACAAGCAAUGCUGUAAUGCACACUAAGAAGAAACAUAUCCCUUGAAACUGGUUCUACUUUUAAUAUUUUCAAGCGUUCUUUCUGCCAUUCCCAUCAUUAUAAAUUAAGUUUCACCCACUCACUUGCUGAGCAUCUAGUUUUCCUCUUUGUCUGGAACUUUAUGUAUGUCCCCAAAUGGAAAUGACAAGAAAUAUUUAAACCCCAAUUGGUUUAAAAAUUAGGUAUCUACCUUAUUUAGGGACAGUUUUAUUUAUAAUAAUUCUAAAUGUCUGUGAAAUUUUUAAAAGGAUUGUAUCUGCAUGAUCCAGUUUCUUGAUGUAUGUAUUGCCGUAGUUUAUGCAGUGAUGCAUCUAUUUACAGAGUGUGUAACACUCAGGACAUAUAUGUAGAGCAUUGUUGAUCAGUGUGUGGCCUUGGGAUCAAGAGGAAGCUGGAGUAAGUUAGCACUGGUUCUCAAAAAAAGAGUUCAAGCUAAAAGCAUGUGGCAUGAGGAACUAGUCUACUCAGGCUACAUGGUUGAAAAUCCUGAGAUAGCAAACACUGAAAUCCAGUUCAUGGGUAUUGAUGCCAGGGAAGGAUACCAGCAAGUAAAAAAGUAGCUUUUUGUAUGGCAAAUUUUGUCUGAAGCAGGAAGUCUCUCUCCUUUCUGCCAAAGUUAUCUGAUAAUCUCAGAAAGUGGGCAGACAUGAGCUCAAAAUUAUAGUUUAGUAAAAGGUUCUGUUUUUGAUGGCAUGAAGAUACAAACAGAGUAGAACGUCUCUGACACUAAUAGCUUGUGGAUGAGCAGCUUCAUAAGCAACCAAUUAUGCUUAAAAAUGGUAUCGAUUGGCCUGGGAAAGUCUUUCAGAGAUUUUCUAGGCUGAUGAGCAUGUGGUGCCCUCUGGAGUGACACAGUCUAUGAUACAAGGAGAAACAUGAAGAAGCUAAGCUUCUCAUCUAGUCUGCACAGGAAAAGAAUGAAUCAAACUCAUACCUUAAUACUCUUUCCAGGGCAGCACAAAGUCAAUCCCUCAUGUUUUGUCUUACAAAAGCAAGACAGCUAAGAAGGUACAUAUGUCUUUUAAGAUGCUGGCGUGGUCCCCACUCCAUUUGCUUAUUCACCUACAGAAAUAAUAGCUGUAGAAGUCAUUUCAAAUGCAAAAGCUGCUGUUAUACAUAUUUAAUAUUUAUAUAUGACUACAUAGUUAUCCAUUUAUUUUUUGAUUUUGAAGGAAAUACACUUAUUCAUUGAGUAACCUUUAUUAAUUAGCUGUUUGUUGACUUCCACUGUACUAAGUACUAUUAAGUACAUAACUAAAUGAUUUCUAUGCUUAAGGAAAUUAUGUUACCGAGAAACAUAUGUGUUUUUAAUGUGUUUUUAAUGUGUCUCAUGUUAUAUGUUCUAUAAAUUGUUUCCAUAUAUGUUAUCUCAUUUGUUCGGCUGUAUUUCAGAAAUUUCCAUCUGAAAGAGAUCAGGAUAUCGUUUCACCCACCAGGUGUACAGAUGAGCAGAAGUAAGACCCACAGAGAUUGUGACUUGUUUGGACAAUCAAUAUCAGAACCAAAAUCUUCUGAUUAAACAGCAAUGCACCUUUUUAACACUUUUUUUCUUCCUAUGCAAACAGAUACAAAAAUGCCUCUUCUCCUUUCCAAUAUAUAUUCUAACUUUCAGUUUGUCCAGUCAAUUCUAAGUUUGUCAAACAGCUUUAAUUACUUUCAAAUACUUGAGGUUUGUCCUGAUACAAAUCAUAUUUAUGAAGAACAUUUUUUAAACUUUACAGAGCUGUUAUAUUUAAGGGAGAGCUAACACAUAUGUUUCUGAUUCAUUACAAUUAACUCAAACUUUUAUUUGCAAUACUUAUUUGAUGCUUAAAUACAUCAUUUUGGCUUCAGUACAGUUUCUCCUAAAAGUAGAUGCCAUUGUUCAUUAAAAUUAAAUUUACCACUAAAAAUCAUCAUUUAGGGCUCAAAACUUCAUAACAUUCUAUUAGAUUUCAAGCUUAACAAAAUUGUUCAUUUUUACUAAAACAAACUUUUCCUCCUUUUACAUUUAUUUUCAACUCCCUAUUUGCUUAUAGAUAAAGCUAUUUCCUUUUACAUUUUCUAAGAAUCCUUUAGACUUUGUAUAUCACAGUUAUUUAAAUGGCUUUUGUUGUCAAAAAGGAAAGAAGAAGGAGGAAAAAAUUUGCUGAUUUUUUUCUAAAAAAUAAUAACAAGCCUUUAAAUGAAUACCUCUUUUCACCGUUCAGACAUGACUGAACUUGGCAUUAAACCUGUUCUUAAUUCAACCCAUCUGUUCAGUGCCCACUACUUUAUUUUUAGUGCCACCCUUUAAAACUGCCUGAAAUACUUCAUAGUAAAAAUUAUCAAAGAACAUGCCACUCUCAACAUAACAAACACAUAUAUGUUCACCAAUGAACCACCCUUUCUGACAUGGUGGUAUUUAUCUCAUGUCUCUCUAAUACCAAAUACAUCUUUUGAAAAAAAUUCUCAACUUAGGCAGUUUAAACCACUAAUCAUGUGGUUUUAUUCAGUGUGGCAUUUGAGUUUAAAUCAUUAAUUUAGUAUAGUGCCAAGUAUAUACACUGGAUUUUUUAAGUUACUGGCAAUAAACGGAAGAUGGCUGCAUAUUUUAUUAAUGUCUGAAAUUGUGGUGGCAAUGAAAACAAAUGACCUCAUGUAAUUCCUCAAAUGGCAUAGAUGGGAUUGUUGAUGGUGGACUGCAUUUAGUUGAAGUUCAGGCUUUGCCACUGUCUUCAGACCCACGGACAUCCUUGUGCUGGAGUGAGAAGCCACACCACAGCUACAGAGCGACGUGGAGGGCACUGUGGUGAACCCAGGACAACAACCAACAGACUUUGCCUGGGACAUGCCCAAGCUUCUCCUGAGGAUCCUCUGCUUUCCAAAACAGCCCUGAGAGUUUCUCAGAAAAACCUGAUUGUGCUGCUUGGAACUACAGUUUCAGUCUCUGUAUAGUUCGGAACUAGAGUUUCCUAUUUCACCAAGAAUUCUUGGUAUUUAUUAUUAAAGCCAAAAAUCAGUUUCCCAUACUUUAAAACUUUUUAUUUUACACGAGCUGUACAUCAAAGAUACACGACCAUUUUUUAUGAGAAUUCUGUAGUUUUAACUUCUGGGAUAACAUGUUUUAUGCAUAAUCUUUUUUUUAAAUAGGACUUUCAUUGCGAGUAAGAAUUUGAAAGCAUUGGUGGGGUUGGAGAAAGCAAAAACUUGUGCAGCAAGGCCAACUUUUCUACCAGAUAACCCUGACCUCAUCCUGUCAGAAUUGAAUGGACCAAGAAUUGAGCUACCCUAAAAGGCCAGUUUUCUGGAAAUAGUUUGAAGAUACCGACUCAUGGUUAAAUGUUUCACAUUUACCCUCAGAAAUGAGUGCUACUGUUCAGAAACGGAGGUAAGGGUCUUCCCUGCCAUUGGACAUUGGGAAGAUGUUGAUGAUUUUAACUGACACCCUGGCUAAACCAUUUCAGGACAACCAUGGUUAGGUCUCUUUGUUGCUCUUUUCACAGGUGCCCACUUUGCUUGUGGGAUUUAGGAGGAAAUGCCACACACUGUCAUAGAAAAAAUGGCGUCUCACUCUAUUGCCCAGGCUAGAGUACAAUAGUGCAAUCUUGGCUCACUGCAACCUCCCCCUCCCAGGUUCAAGCCAUUCUCCUGCCUCAGCCUCCCGAGUAGCUAGAACUACAAGCACGUGCACUGUACCCAGCUAAUUUUUUGUAUUUUUAGCAGAGACGGGGUUUCUCCAUGUUGGCCAGGCUGGUCUCGAACUCCUGACCUCAGGUAAUCCACCGCCUCAUCCUCCCAAAAUGCAUUAUCUCUUCCCAAAAUGCAUUAUCUAUUUCAUUAAGAAAAAGGAGAAAGCAACCAUGCUAAGCUUCAAAUAAAAGCAUGUGAGCACACCUGAUGACGCUAGACCCACUGGAAUCUCGCAUAACUCAUCCUGAACGUGUUGGGAAUCAAGUCUCUCAGGAUUAGCCCUGGUAAUCUGAAAGUCACCAGUCAUCAAGAAGUGGCAUCUCUACCAUGUGGUGCAAUCAUAGCCCUGAACUCAAAUUUCUGUCUGAUAUAUUUGAUGUGAUCCCUCCUUUUAUACCCUUUUAACUUCUGCUUGGAGAGACCCACUGACCUUGUAGCUGACUGUCAGAACUUUUCCUUGCCAGGCCAGCAAUAAAUUUGGCAUUGUUUUGGACAUUGA